AACAUAAUUCAAUAGAAUGAAUGAAAGAGAGAAAGAUUAAGAAAGGAAGGAAACAAGUAGAAGGGCAUGUUAGUGUUUCUUGUUUGUU
RNAcentral lists this non-coding RNA (88 nucleotides) under Chloropicon mariensis. The record is from RNAcentral. Lineage: Eukaryota; Viridiplantae; Chlorophyta; Chloropicophyceae; Chloropicales; Chloropicaceae.